This 253-nucleotide ribosomal RNA is filed under the name uncultured bacterium. RNAcentral describes it as "partial 16S ribosomal RNA". It matches the Rfam family "Bacterial small subunit ribosomal RNA", at positions 524 to 776 of the family's 1533-position model. The record is from RNAcentral.
UACGAAGGGGGCUAGCGUUGCUCGGAAUUACUGGGCGUAAAGCGCACGUAGGCGGCUCUUUAAGUCGGAGGUGAAAUCCUGGAGCUCAACUCCAGAACUGCCUUCGAUACUGAAGAGCUCGAGUCCGGGAGAGGUGAGUGGAACUGCGAGUGUAGAGGUGAAAUUCGUAGAUAUUCGCAAGAACACCAGUGGCGAAGGCGGCUCACUGGCCCGGUACUGACGCUGGGGUGCGAAAGCGUGGGGAGCAAACAGG